Molecule: ribosomal RNA, 242 nt
Filed under: uncultured Actinomycetales bacterium
Lineage: Bacteria; Bacillati; Actinomycetota; Actinomycetes; Actinomycetales
Description: partial 16S ribosomal RNA
Rfam family: Bacterial small subunit ribosomal RNA
Source: RNAcentral
UACUCGAGUGGCGAACGGGUGAGUAACACGUGGGUGAUCUGCCUGCACUCUUGGAUAAGCCUGGGAAACUGGGUCUAAUACCGGAUAGGACCAUGCUUUAGUGUGUGUGGUGGAAAGUUUUUUCGGUGUAGGAUGAGCCCGCGGCCUAUCAGCUUGUUGGUGGGGUAAUGGCCUACCAAGGCGGCGACGGGUAGCCGGACUGAGAGGUUGGUCGGCCACAUUGGUACUGAGAUACGGCCCAG